Molecule: long non-coding RNA, 606 nt
Filed under: Marmota monax (woodchuck)
Lineage: Eukaryota; Metazoa; Chordata; Mammalia; Rodentia; Sciuridae
Source: RNAcentral
CUUAGAUUUUAAAAUUGUGAAGACCCUGGCGGAGUCUGUGCGCACUUAUGGCAUAGAUGCCGCUUUCACUCUCACUCAGGUGGAGGGACUUACUAGAUUUUGCAUGACUCCCUCAGAUUGGGCUAGUCUAGUCCACGCUUGUGUUUCCCCAGGGAAAUAUUAGGAGUCCAAAGUUGGCUGUUUAAUGUUUCUGGCAGUACCCAAGACUCAGAGCGAAGUAGGAGACUUAAAAUUACUUCACACAAUUCACAAUUGUUUAAUGCUACAUUACCCUCCACAGCAGUCUGUCUCCAAUCUCCGUUCCUGUUUCUUUUGGCUAAUGUUACAUUACAGGGGAUGCUUAAUUGUUCUAAUAUUACCUGUUAUUUGUCUGAGUGUUGGAAUGGCUCCUGGACUACGGCAGUGGUUAUGAAAAUUCCAACUUUUGUCCCGAUCCCGGUUACUGUGUAUCCAGAGUCAUUUCCUAUUGUUGAACUGAUUAGAGCCCGUAGAGAUUUUGGAAUUACGGCAGCCAUAGUGACAGCUGUGGCGGUGUCUGCUGCUGCAGCAGUUACAGCUGGAGUAGCCAUGGCCAGCCAGGUACAAACUGCUGCCACUAUUAAUCAG